GUAGGUUGGUCAUGCCUCUGGUAUGUACUGGUCUCACUGAUUCCUCCUUCCUGAUGAACCGUAAUGCCAUUAAUUUGGUGUUGCGGGGAAUUUGGACUGUUACUUUGAAAAAAUUAGAGUGUUUAAAGCAAGCUAACGCUUGAAUACAUUAGCAUGGAAUAAUGAAAUAGGACGUUCGAUCCUAUUUUGUUGGUUUCUAGGAUUGACGUAAUGAUUAAUAGGGAUAGUUGGGGGCAUUAGUAUUCAAUUGUCAGAGGUGAAAUUCUUGGAUUUAUUGAAGACUAACUACUGCGAAAGCAUUUGCCAAGGAUGUUUUCAUUAAUCAAGAACGAAAGUUAGGGGAUCGA
RNAcentral lists this ribosomal RNA (347 nucleotides) under uncultured Glomus. RNAcentral's name for it is "SSU rRNA". It matches the Rfam family "Eukaryotic small subunit ribosomal RNA", at positions 653 to 1001 of the family's 1831-position model. Lineage: Eukaryota; Fungi; Glomeromycota; Glomeromycetes; Glomerales; Glomeraceae. The record is from RNAcentral.